This is a non-coding RNA of Oryctolagus cuniculus (rabbit), 1693 nucleotides long. Lineage: Eukaryota; Metazoa; Chordata; Mammalia; Lagomorpha; Leporidae. The record is from RefSeq and is a predicted model, not a curated record.
CCACCCUGCAGGGGGCGGAGCCGGCCUCCAGGCUGACCGGAGAUUCCUGUGGGGGAAACCCACCCGCAAUGCCCACCCCCUCAAGGGUUCUUCAGGUUGAUGGUGUUGCUGUCAGCCAGAAGAGGGUCUCGCCACUUCUUCCUCCUCAAGGAAGGAGAGGGCUCUCCGUCCCUACUCCCUCGCAGGAAGUAGGAAGUUCCUUCUGUUGUCUGCCAGGCUUCCAACUUCAGAGAUGGUGGCAGAUAUUGACAAUCAGAUCGAUACGCAGCUGCAAGACCCGCUGACCAAGGACGAGGUGGCUACCGCUCCUCUGGCCAAGCGGCUGGAACCAGGUGAUGAGAGGUCCACUCUUCCCUCCCCGCCAUCCUGGGAGGAAUGAAGCACGAGUAAGCCCGGUGCUGGGAAUCCAUGAGCGUGGGAGAUCCUGGUUCUCAAGAAGCUCACAGAGGAACAGUGGUCUAAAGGCUGAGUUCCCAGGCCUGUUCCUAAGAAGCGUCUUCCAGCAGCCCUGGACCUCUCCAGUCUCAACAUUCUGCUUUCCCGACGUCGGAAACAGCCGGAAAAUAAACACCCUGAUGACUAAACGGUUUCUCCAGCUAGAGCCUGGGGAAGAAGCACUAAAAAUAGAGGCCACAAAUGAGGGGAGGUUCCCCACUUGGGGGGGGCACUUUCCCAUCCCGACACCGCCUCCAACCCGGCCCAAGGCUCCAUUCUCCAGGUCCUUGGGGAAGGGGAAGAAGGACCGCUGCCUAUCCCGGAGUCUUGGGCAAGCUAGCCCUGCCUGGUGCCCUGACUCCCAGAUCCAACAGAGAGCUGAGAAGCUGCAUCUGGGGACACUGUAUAAAUCAGGUUUCCUGAGGGAGAGGCCAAAUAGAAGGGUUGGAAACUGAGGCCAAGGAAACAGGAGCCUGCUGGCCUCCUGUCUUAGGAAGUACAAGAUAAGCUCCAACCUAUUUGCAGAAUAAUUCCUCUGAACUUCUCCUCUGAGGCUUGCUUGCAUGGGCUACCAGGGACCCGAAGGAGUCCUUCCAAACCAGCCCUUAGUUAUUAUAAUGCAGCAUGGGCACUCAGCAAAGCCAUCUACUUAUAUGAACUAAUUGACUCUUCACACCCAAUUUAUGAGUUAGGUAGUCUUAUCACCAGCUCCAUGUUCCCCGGGAGAAUCAUGAGGUGGAGGAAGUUAAAUAAUGUGCAGGUAUUCACAGUUAACAAGUGGCGGGGCAAGGACUGGCACCAGGGCAGCCUGCCUGCAAAGCUGGCUUCUAACCCCCAGGACAUGGUGCCUCUCUGUGUAUAUUGGUCUCUCCAGCACUAACCCAGAAUUGAGCCUUUGUCUAGUAAAUCAGACCUAGCCAGAUAGAAAUCAGGGUGUGCGAGGGACUGAGAACCUCUCUGUUCUGCAAGGCUCUUUUGAGACCUAAGCCAAAUUCAAGCAUUUUCGCAAGCUCCAGGUGGAAAGCAGGACUUGGAAGUCGCAGGAAUUGGGGGGGGGGGGGGGGCUGAUGGGCCAGUUGUCCAGCGGCCUGGCACCCACCCUCUCUCGGAGGACACUUCGAGACUCACCACUCCCUGAGGCCAACAGGAAUUUUUUUAAAAAUUAUUUUUAAAAGCUACUGCUACAUCUUUAAUAAGAUGUUUCUGAGUAUUUCCUGUGUGGCAGGUGGGGGGUGGUUAGGGUGCCGCCCCUUUAAAU